GCUGAAAGGAUUUUGUUUCUUGUGUACGUGGUCCACAGGAGUCGUCAUUUUUUAUCGCAUUUCAUUCAUAUAUUCGAAACCGCGCGCACGUUCCGGGAACGCGCAUUAAAAGCCGUCUCCUAAAUAAAUGAGCGAGCUGGGCCACGCGCUCUUGUCGGGCCGAUUUAAAGGCUUUGAAGUUUUCGGACGAGUGACUCUCCGGUGCGUAUCGAGAUCCAAAUGAGGGUCGGGUUCGAGUACGGAUCGAAACAUGUUCCGUCGCCACCGAUUUGAUCCCAUCACAAGAUGGUCUCUCGUUUGUUUCUUCAAAUGGGGGUCCUCUAAGAGGUGCCUCCUCUCUCUCUCUCCCUCUCUCUCCCUCCAUCUCCUCCCCCUUCUCUCUCUCCAUUUUGUGUGUUUGCUGAACGCAUCGAGUCUCCGCCGCCACACGAGGGAUUUCGGAGUAUUAUUUUGAUCGAGCUCCUAUCGUUGCAGAAAGCACAUCCUGUUUCCAUGCUGUCAACACAGGAAGUGAGGCCCACACAUGGCAAGGUAUUUCAAUCAGUCAUUUUUAAGUAAAAACAAUUGAAAGUGAACAUUCGCUCCCGGGACUGGUGUGAAACGGCCGGAAAAGUUUCCGUAUCUCAGUUUUAGGCCUCCAGUUCAUUUUACCGAAUGUUUUCGUUUGUGCGCUUUCAGUAGAUGGCAAGGAACAUUUUUCCAGUUUUUCCCGAUAGAUCUGGAGGCGCGUGGACGGGAUUUAUAACCAACUGCUACUAAAGAAGCAAAUCAAACAACGAAUGAAAUGGUGAAGCCAAAGUUUGCACGUGUUCUGUUAGUAAUAGAACAUAUGAAGUCAAAUGUUUAAAACUAAAGACUUUAAGAAGAAACUGAGCCCUUUAGCUCCGGUUUGUGAAUGAAGAACAUGAAUUUGUCCUCGAUUAUUCAUGAAAAAGAAGAAGAAACCUUCCUUGUGAUAUUAAUAAAUUCAUGAUUUUUCUUCUUCUUCUAACCUUAAAUAGAACCAACAGACAGUCGGGUCACACUCGCUAGAUUUUUGUCUAUUUGCGCGUUAAGAGCAUGUUUUAAAUUACAUCAAGAUCCACACUUUGAAACUGUUUUCACCGUCCACAGUCGUAGAACAUAAAAGUACAUUUAAUUUAAUCAUAAAUAAAUGCUGUUUGGAGGUGGAUGGUGAACGCACCAGUCUCCCUGGCUGCCCUGGUGCCUUAGUCUGAAGAAAACAUUUUCACCCUGCUGGGAACGUCAAAGGAAAGAGGUCAGUCAGGGUGAAUGACCUCUUUCCUUUGACUUCAUACCAGUUUUGCAUAAGAACUUCAAAUCCCACAGCACCAGGCUCAUUGUGCAAGGUUCGUUUUCACAUUCAUUCACAGAGGAAAGAAAGAUUUGAACAGUACUCAACUAAUUUUUUAUUUUUUUAAAUGAUUUUUCUAAAAAUGUAAAGACUCAAAGCAUUUAUGUAGAUCUCUUCUAGAGGGACACUUAAAAGAUGUUGUAGCUGCUCCAUUUUAUCUUCAAUUCAGUCUUUAACAAAAACAAAGUUAAUGCAGUUUAUUCCACACAAGUUGUGGCUAUAAACUUCCACCACAAACUGAUCCUCUCUUGAGAAGAUUCUUUUAUUUUUUGUGACAUUUCUCCCUUGUCAUUGUUUUUUUCUGCCAAUGUUAUUGUGUUGUUGUUUGUUUCACAUUGUGUUUGGAUUACUUUUCAGCUUCAUUCCCAGUGUAACUGAAGGAUGGGAGGCUGCACGUGGAUCUUAAAUGACACACACACAGAGCCAAGCCACCAGUGCAACAUUUAAUCCUUUAUGUUUUAUAUAUUUCAUUCUGUCUGCAAGUAUUAAAGCUAUAGAUACAUUU
Molecule: long non-coding RNA, 1859 nt
Organism: Mugil cephalus (flathead mullet)
Lineage: Eukaryota; Metazoa; Chordata; Actinopteri; Mugiliformes; Mugilidae
Exons: 3
Source: RefSeq, a predicted model, not a curated record